RNAcentral lists this ribosomal RNA (253 nucleotides) under uncultured bacterium. RNAcentral's name for it is "partial 16S ribosomal RNA". It matches the Rfam family "Bacterial small subunit ribosomal RNA", at positions 524 to 776 of the family's 1533-position model. The record is from RNAcentral.
UACGAAGGGGGCUAGCGUUGCUCGGAAUCACUGGGCGUAACGGGCGCGUAGGCGGCUUUAUAAGUCGGGGGUGAAAGCCUGUGGCUCAACCACAGAAUUGCCUUCGAUACUGUAGAGCUUGAGACCGGAAGAGGUAAGUGGAACUGCGAGUGUAGAGGUGAAAUUCGUAGAUAUUCGCAAGAACACCAGUGGCGAAGGCGGCUUACUGGUCCGGUUCUGACGCUGAGGCGCGAAAGCGUGGGGAGCAAACAGG